AAGGCUUCUAGCAGCUAUUUGUGAGCCAUGGCUGGGACCCUCCAAGAAAUUCUACCCUGUCCUCUGGAGUCCAGACUCAGCAAACUGCAGUGUUCGCUUCUGAGGGGGCAGAGUCCAAGCCAGGUGUCCGAUGACCCAGCGUGAGGUCCAGUUCAGGCUUCUGGAGAAUGCUCCUCUCUCUAGGCAAGGGGCGUCAGAGCAGCAACGAGCCCAGAGAAGUCAACAGUGGCUGUUCGGGCUCUCUCAGUUGCUUCCAGAAGAUCAGAAGGCGAUAACCCAGAUCUUCUGCCAGCCCCCCAGCCAGCAGAGAAGACUUUGGUUUCUAACGGUGAAGGAAAAUAAAGAUAAUGACACAAACAAUAGCUAUUGCAUAUGCACUGCUUCAGCAGGGAGGCGGGGCGCGCAAGGAGGGCACUACAUCUGUCACUGGCACGAGUGAGAACCGCCCACAAUUACAAGGUCUAAAUAAAAUACUUUGAACAAAAGGUGCA
Molecule: long non-coding RNA, 491 nt
Filed under: Bos indicus x Bos taurus (hybrid cattle)
Lineage: Eukaryota; Metazoa; Chordata; Mammalia; Artiodactyla; Bovidae
Description: lncRNA (ENSBIXG00005023923.1)
Source: RNAcentral